AUUGAACGCUGGCGGCAGGCUUAACACAUGCAAGUCGAGCGGAGAUGAGGUGCUUGCACCUUAUCUUAGCGGCGGACGGGUGAGUAAUGCUUAGGAAUCUGCCUAUUAGUGGGGGACAACAUUCCGAAAGGAAUGCUAAUACCGCAUACGUCCUACGGGAGAAAGCAGGGGAUCUUCGGACCUUGCGCUAAUAGAUGAGCCUAAGUCGGAUUAGCUAGUUGGUGGGGUAAAGGCCUACCAAGGCGACGAUCUGUAGCGGGGCUUAGAGGAUGAUCCGCCACACUGGGACUGAGACACGGCCCAGACUCCUACGGGAGGCAGCAGUGGGGAAUAUUGGACAAUGGGGGAAACCCUGAUCCAGCCAUGCCGCGUGUGUGAAGAAGGCCUUAUGGUUGUAAAGCACUUUAAGCGAGGAGGAGGCUACUGAGACUAAUACUCUUGGAUAGUGGACGUUACUCGCAGAAUAAGCACCGGCUAACUCUGUGCCAGCAGCCGCAGUAA
Molecule: ribosomal RNA, 501 nt
Filed under: uncultured bacterium
Lineage: Bacteria
Description: partial 16S ribosomal RNA
Rfam family: Bacterial small subunit ribosomal RNA
Source: RNAcentral